RNAcentral lists this ribosomal RNA (460 nucleotides) under uncultured bacterium. RNAcentral describes it as "partial 16S ribosomal RNA". It matches the Rfam family "Bacterial small subunit ribosomal RNA", at positions 338 to 795 of the family's 1533-position model. The record is from RNAcentral.
CCUACGGGAGGCAGCAGUGAGGAAUAUUGGUCAAUGGACGGAAGUCUGAACCAGCGAUGCCGCGUGCAUGAAGACGGCUCUAUGAGUUGUAAACUGCUUUUAUAUGGGAAUAAAACGUUCCACGUGUGGGAUUUUGUAUGUACCAUAUGAAUAAGGAUCGGCUAACUCCGUGCCAGCAGCCGCGGUAAUACGGAGUAUCCGAGCGUUAUCCGGAUUUAUGGGGUUUAAAGGGAGCGUAGGUGGAUUGGUAAGUCAGUUGUGAAAGUUUGCGGCUCAACCGUAAAAUUGCAGUUGAAACUGGAAGUCUUGAGUACAGUAGAGGUGAGCGGAAUUCGUGGUGUAGCGGUGAAAUGCUUAGAUAUCACGAAGAACUCCGAUUGCGAAGGCAGUUCACUGGACUGCAACUGACACUGAGGCUCGAAAGUGUGGGUAUCAAACAGGAUUAGAUACCCCUGUAGUC